UACGGGGGGAGCAAGCGUUGUUCGGAUUUACUGGGCGUAAAGGGCGCGUAGGCGGCCACUGCAAGUCGGUUGUGAAAUCUCCGGGCUUAACCCGGAAAGGUCAAUCGAUACUGCAGGGCUAGAGUGCGGAAGGGGCAACUGGAAUUCUCGGUGUAGCGGUGAAAUGCGUAGAUAUCGAGAGGAACACCUGCGGCGAAGGCGGGUUGCUGGGCCGACACUGACGCUGACAGCGCGAAAGCUAGGGGGGCGAACGGG
Molecule: ribosomal RNA, 255 nt
Filed under: uncultured bacterium
Lineage: Bacteria
Description: partial 16S ribosomal RNA
Rfam family: Bacterial small subunit ribosomal RNA
Source: RNAcentral